This is a long non-coding RNA of Haemorhous mexicanus (house finch), 2349 nucleotides long. RefSeq lists it as uncharacterized. NCBI's taxonomy places the organism in Eukaryota, Metazoa, Chordata, Aves, Passeriformes, Fringillidae. The record is from RefSeq and is a predicted model, not a curated record. The transcript is spliced from 3 exons.
GACAUCUGCCCUCUGCCCCUGACCUGGGCGUUCCCAGCGCCGCGCUUUCUGCGGGGCUUUCGACGAGCCCUGGGCACCGGACUGGGCUUCGCCGGGGGCGGUGAGGCGCUGCGCUACCCCCGAGGAGCCGCGCUGGGAGAAAUACAGAUGCAAAAGCAGGACGUGGGUAAAUGAGAGAAGAUAAGGUAUUGCUCCUGCAAGCAGAACAUCCUGUCUUCAAAAUGGCCUCCACUUCAUAUGAAUCAGCUCCAAGAGAGGGGCACUGACCUCAUCUCACCAGGAAUAUCAAACAUCUCCACAGCUUUGAUGAACCUUUUGAUGAGAGUGGAAAAAGGAGAAAUGUACACAUCAGCUGUGUAAUCCUGUGCUGGAUGGGUCUGGAUGCAUGCUAAGGUUUGUGUUUAAAAGCAAAACCGAUACACAUCUCCUUUGGUAUGCAAGCACAGAAAAGCACCCUUUGUUUUCGUGUGGUUUUGUGGGGGGGGUUUUCUGGAGGCUUCAAUAGUAUUUGGAUGGGGUCCACAGAAAAAUCUGCUAAUUUUGUAGUAGACGUAGAAUAUAUCAUCUUUGCCAUUAUCAUCACUUUCCAGAUAAAAUCAAGAUCAGGAUAUUAGUGGGCUUGUUGCUCCACAACAUGGAUUAAAUAAUUGUUUCUGCCCAACAAACUCAUAUUGACCUUUGAAUCCUGAUUUUUGAAUCAGAAUUUUCUAUCUUUACGCUAUUUGUGGCAACAUACUGGAUUUUUAUUAUCAUUUUUACAAAUACGUGUCCCCCUCAUUCCUCGAGCCAUAGCAAUGGGGCACCCUGGUAAAAAACUAGAUCUGCUGUGACACUGAUAGAGUGAACAGAGACAAGUUUUCAAGCAUCAUUCUGCCACAGCUCUUUGUGGACAAGGAACUAGCAAAAAAAAAAAAAUCCUGAGAGCAAGACAAAGCAAAGAGGGCAACCUGCAUGACCCCCAGGGGAUCUUCACAGAUGUGAAGAUCAGAAUCACUGAUUGUGCAGAUGAACUCGAGAAACCAAGUCCUUGGGUAAGCUCAGUUAUCCUUUACAACCUGACUGUUAACAGCUAUAUGUUUACCUGUCCUUGAGAAAAGAGCCUCUAUUGUGGCUUAGCAAACACAGAGGAAUUCCUGGUGUCCUCAGGAAAGUCUGGGACAAAAGUUAAACUGAUAGUUCCAAAUACACUAUUUGUGCUUAAUCAUUUGACUGAGUUUAAACUGGAAAUCCUGUUCUGUGUCCAGUGCUGUAACAGCAGAAAACUGCAUGUCUUUUUCAUUUCUGUUCUCUUAAUCCAAUUGUACUGCAUAUUUUCUGUUCUGUUGCAAAGCUUUAGGCACUGCUGGUGCUGUUCCCCCCAGGCAGAAUCACCCUGCAGGAGAUGCCAAUGCCUGGUGUUAAGGGGUUUGUGUGUGUGUUGAGGCCAGGUGAAGGACAACUGUCUCCCCUGAUGCUACCUUAGAGGAUCCUGGACAAAGCAACACAGAGAGAUUCCACAGAGGGAAAGCCAGCACCUACAAUGCUUGUGAAGGGAGUGGGUAAAACCACAGACCAUGGAAUUUGGGCUUUCUGAUACAGAUGGAAUCCAGAUUUCUGAGAAGAUGAGAAGCAGGCACUCCAAUCAUGUACAGCCUGGGCAAGGUGAGGGGCUUGUUCUUAGGGACCUGGAAGUGCUUACUCCUGAUCUGCUGGAGGCUGAGAAGGGUGCAAUCCACCAAACAGUAGCACUCUCUGUUGAGCAUUCUCCACUGAAAAUGUUUUGGUUUUCUCUGUAAGCAAGCUUAUUCUUGUAUCUCCAAAGUGAUGGGAAGUAAUGCCAAUUUCUCUUUCUGCGUGUUGUCACCAGCUCCUCAACUCAGCAUGUCUUGCUGGUAACUUAUCCUUCCAUUGCAAUAAAGCAGCCUUGGUCUUUCACACCACGUUAAAGAAAAUAACCAGCAGAGUACUUAAACCAGGCUUGGCUUGACUGCAGAUUUCAAUUGAGUUCAGCAGUAAAAGGAAACCCUAUUAGUACUUCCCCACAGCUAGCUUUGCUCAAUGCCUAGUGUUAAGAUAAAUUAUGUUCUUCAAUGUGUAGGAUGAAAUAAGAGUUGCUAUCACAGCAGGAUGAGUUUUUCAAAUAUUACUUACAUUAGGCAGCAAUCUUUUGUUCCCACAGAAAGAAAAUUUUUUAAAAUAGAUAACCAAGCUUAUCUGGGAGAUCUAUCACUUGGGGCCAUAAUCCAUGAUCUAUGUAGCCUCACUUAGUGCAAAGUAUAUCAUUUUGUCUAACAGCCUUUAACAGGGACUUUGAAAGAACUAUUAUUUUGUUCUGAACGAUAUACAAAUAAAUUCAGUUCUACAAUUUAA